AGUAGCCAUCUAGGUAAUCAGAUUGGCAGAUCAUAAGAAGAAGGGAUCUUUAUUGUCCUUGUGUGCCUUCACUCCAACUCUGAUUAAAAAGGACUCUCUACAGAAGACGUACUACUGGUCACUUACAUUGGAAGUAUGGUGUUGAUGAGCUUGAGUGAGAAAAAAAAUGGAUUUGGGUUAGAAGACUUGGGAUCUUGCACUUACCAGAACCUGAAGCUUUCUGACAAAGGAGAUUGGCAGGACAAAGAGAAGUAUAAGGAGUGAGAUUGUGACCUGAGGAUGUUCGAAAACGGCUCAUCCCUCCCUGGGAAGGAAGUACAAAUGAAGAAACUGAGGUUUGGAGAAGGGACUGAAGAGAAGCUGGCCAGAGGCGUACCUGGACGAUCACCCUGGCCUCCUCAUUUUCAGGCCUUCGAGAUUUUCCCAACUAGAUUCUGUCAACAGCAUGUCCAACAUGAGGUCCACAGAUGUUCUGGGGGAGAAAGGGGUGCUGAAUGUGGAGAGGCAAAUAAAAUGGACACACAAGCCUUGACCUCUUGGAGUGAUUAUGAUCAAGAUUAUGAUCAUUGUGACACACAUUAAUCCAGGAAGCAAACAAGUGUGAAAACAGAGCUGCAGAGGUGACACUUGGAUGCCCCCUGGCCAGGUGGUGACUAGAGGUCAGAUCUCUUCUCUAGUUGAGUGGUAGUCCAGGUUCCUGGGCUCUUUCCGCCCUGACCUACAGGCCUGACAGAGCCGUCAAAACAUGAGAGCCCUCUUUCUAAUCAUCUCACUUCUUGGAAAAAAUAGAAUGGUAAGCUCUGGAGCAUACUUCCUUACAGAAGAAUCACUGGAGGUCCUGGCUGGUAUAGAUUUUAUUUUUUUUCCUGAGAAAAUGGGCAUGUAAUUACAUAUUUUGAGCGGGUGUUUUACUCUACCUGUCCAAGACCUUUUCUCUUCUAAUUGCUAUAAUGGCAAGAAUCCACACAUUAAAAAUGUACACACACACAUCUCUGGAUAAACACAGGCACACUAAUAACUAUGAACACAUAUGGACCAUUUUGUUCAUCAAUUUUCUUAAAAACCACUCAAACUGCACAAACUCAGGGCAUUGUGAUAUCACACAGAUUCCUGUAAUAGAGGCUAAAUGUGAGGUAACGUUUUCAGUACAUGACAUAUGGCCCCUCACUAAGAAUUAUCAUUGGUAUUCAUCCACAACGGGUGGUGAAGGAGCAGCACUGAUGUUAUGAGGCGCUUGAGAAUUCUUUUUGCCCUAGGGAGAAGAUGAAAGUCAAUGAACCAGAGAAGCAAUGUUUUGUUUUUGUUGUGCUUUCAGCUGCUAUCCAAAUUGGUUUCACAAUUUCUUGCACUUUUACGUAACCUUCCCUGUGGGGCACUUAACGCAGAUUAAAGUAACAUAGCCACACUUCCAACUCUGGAAAUACCACCACUGAGGAAUGGUACAUUAUACUUAGGAGCAUUAAUAACAGGAUCCUAAACCAUUUUCUAAAGUUUUGUGAUCUUCAUAUUCACACACCAUCUUAGGAGGGUUGGCUGAAGUUCUAGGCAAAGAAUGUUUAAGAAAAAAUGGCAGAAGCAAAUUUCAGUCAACUCUUCAGGUUUAUCUUUACUUGACCUGUCACUGCUUACCAACUUUCCAGUUCUAAUUCACAGGGCUGCAGUCUGUGAGAACAAGAAGUUUAAGGAAAACUCACUCACUCCGGUGAGCUUAUACUCUCCUUGAGGAGCUGAGAUGCUCAGGAAUGAGAGAGUGGUUUGUUU
Molecule: long non-coding RNA, 1761 nt
Filed under: Homo sapiens (human)
Lineage: Eukaryota; Metazoa; Chordata; Mammalia; Primates; Hominidae
Description: non-protein coding lnc-CCDC85A-2:5
Source: RNAcentral